UGUUCGGAAUUACUGGGCGUAAAGGGCUCGUAGGCGGCCAACUAAGUCAUACGUGAAAUCCCUCAGCUUAACUGGGGAACUGCGUGUGAUACUGGAUGGCUUGGAUUUGGGAGAGGGAUGCGGAAUUCCAGGUGUAGCGGUGAAAUGCGUAGAUAUCUGGAGGAACACCAAUGGCGAAGGCAGAUCUCUGGGCCGUAACUGACGCUGAGGAGCGAAAGCAUGGGGAGCGAACAGG
Molecule: ribosomal RNA, 235 nt
Filed under: uncultured bacterium
Lineage: Bacteria
Description: partial 16S ribosomal RNA
Rfam family: Bacterial small subunit ribosomal RNA
Source: RNAcentral